RNAcentral lists this ribosomal RNA (834 nucleotides) under Perforatella incarnata. RNAcentral describes it as "Monachoides incarnatus partial large subunit ribosomal RNA". The record is from RNAcentral. Lineage: Eukaryota; Metazoa; Mollusca; Gastropoda; Stylommatophora; Hygromiidae.
AAUUAUUAUUAGAUUUUUAAAUAAUUAUUCACGAAAUAAAUUGAGCUAAAUUUUUGGUAUUUUUGGAAAUUAUAACUAUAUGUUACAAAAUAUAUUAACUAAAUAGAUUUAGGGGUGAAAGGCCUAUCAAAUUUUAUGAUAUCUUGAAGUAUAUAAAAUAUAUCAAGUAUUUCUAAUUUAACUAUUGAAUGUUUAGGUUCAAUAGUAACAUUAUAUUUUUUAAAAAAUUGUUCAAUUUUUUUAAGUAAAAUUGAGUUAGAGCAUAAAAUAUACAUCAAAUUUUUAUUAUAUGAAUAUAAAUAUACUACGGUUAUUAAUAAAUAUAAUCAUAUAUAAUGUAAUUAUUAGUAAUAGUUUAUUAAACUAUAUAAAGGAAUUCGGCAAGAAAAUUUUUCACCUGUUUAUCAAAAACAUAGCUUAUUGAAUAUCAUAAUAAGUAACCCCUGCUCAAUGGAAAUCUAAAUAGCCGCAGUACCUUGACUGUGCAAAGGUAGCAUAAUCAAUUGGCUUAUAAUUGAAGUCUGGAAUGAAUGGGUAAUCUGGAAAAUAACUGUCUUUAUUUGUAGUAUUUUGAAUUUACUUAUAAAGUGAAAAUACUUUAAUAUAAAUAUAAGACGAGAAGACCCUAGAAAUUUUUUGUUAAUAACUUUUGUUGGGGCGACAGGGUAACAUAUAAACUUACUUACAUUUAUAUAAAUCUUAUAAGGUACGUAACUAAAUUACUCUAGGGAUAACAGCAUAAUAUAUAAAAGUUUAUGACCUCGAUGUUGGACUAGGUAAUUAAAUAUUUAAAAGAUAUCUUAAUUUGCUCUGUUCGAGCAGUAUCACCUACAU